This 253-nucleotide ribosomal RNA is filed under the name uncultured bacterium. RNAcentral's name for it is "partial 16S ribosomal RNA". It matches the Rfam family "Bacterial small subunit ribosomal RNA", at positions 524 to 776 of the family's 1533-position model. The record is from RNAcentral.
UACGUAGGGUGCGAGCGUUGUCCGGAAUUAUUGGGCGUAAAGGGCUCGUAGGCGGUUUGUCGCGUCGGGAGUGAAAUCCACUGGCUUAACUGGUGGCUUGCUUUCGAUACGGGCAGACUGGAGGUAUGCAGGGGAGAACGGAAUUCCUGGUGUAGCGGUGGAAUGCGUAGAGAUCCGGAGGAAGACCGGUGGCGAAGGCGGUCUGCUGGGCAGUUUCUGACACUGAUGAGCGACAGCGUGGGGAGCAAACAGG